Molecule: unclassified non-coding RNA, 3450 nt
Filed under: Daphnia magna
Lineage: Eukaryota; Metazoa; Arthropoda; Branchiopoda; Diplostraca; Daphniidae
Description: meiotic recombination protein SPO11, transcript variant X1
Source: RNAcentral
AUGGCGGGAAAUUAAGCACCACGUCGUGACCGACAGUGAUCCCUCAAACUUGUAUCGAUAAUGCCGUUUUUUUCUUCUUUCUUUUGCUUUAGCGAUUACGUCUUGACUUCGUUUAUAAGUUUACUCGGUAAAAACUAGUGCAGCUUGUCGUGACGUGUGGGUCAGCGUGAACGUUGUCUCAAACCAGUUUUAAUUGAGUGACAAACAAGCAAAUAGUUUGGCCGUAAUACCAGUUGCAACGAAUAUGACGAGUUUGCAGGAGAUAAUCGUCAUUCUGAGCGAUUUGAAGCAAAGCUUAAUUGCAUUUCAUGGAGUCAAUCCUGUUUAUCCACCACCCAACAAGAGUGAAACAAUGGCACGAGUUGAAGAAUACAUCAAACUAGUUGUGGCUGCCAUAAGUCGAGGGGACUGGCCUUUGCAGCUACCAAUUCAUGGCAGUGACAAGAUGAUGACUUGGAAAGCCGCCAAUCAACGACGUAAAUGUUUGUUACUCUUCCAUCUGCUCGCCAAAUCACAUGCACUUUUACGCACCAAUACCACAUCUACCAAACGUGACAUCUAUUAUGAAGACGUUUCGUUAUGGGGUAACCAACCGGUGCUGGACAGCACAGUAACCCAGAUGACAAGACUGCUGAAUAUUCCGCGACGCUGUCUCAAUAUCGGUGCCACUUCGAAAGGUUUGGUGGCAGGUUCUCUGAACUUUCUCGAUGGAGAUGGCAAGCUCGUUGAUUGCCAAUCGCCAACUGGGAUUUUGAUACCGAACGACGUGGAAAAACUUUCUCAAUUCCGAAGCAAAGCUUUCCACAUCUUGCUAGUUGAGAAAGACAGCACGUUCCAGAAAUUGAUUGACGAUAAGAUCGAAUCCUUCAUCGGCGAAUGUAUUCUCAUCACGGGAAAAGGUUAUCCGGAUGUCAACACUCGUCGUUUCCUGCGUCGCUUGUGGGACGAGUUGCAACUACCCGCGUUGGCUUUGGUGGAUGCAGAUCCGCACGGAAUUUCCAUCCUCGCUGUUUAUCGAUUCGGAAGUCAAAAUUUAGAAGAUAUUGAACAUUUGUCGACUCCCCAACUGAGAUUUAUCGGCCUCCAGCCAAGCGAUAUUGAGCCUUUACACAUCCCUGACGAAGCUAAGUUGCCACUAACUCAACGCGAUCGAUCGCUCAUCGACUCACUGACCCAACGUCCUUCCGUAACCGAAAAUCAACUUCUCCACGAACAGCUGACUGUAUUGCGCCGAUUGAAUUGCAAGGUUGAAAUCCAGGGUCUGACGAAAAUCCACCCGCAGUUUCUCUCUCGUACCUACUUACCGGCCAAGAUCCAGUCCAAGUCUUGGAUUUAGAAAGAAAACCGUAAACCGACAUACAUUUUUUGUUCCUCCCCUCUUCAGUUUUUACUGUUCCAAAGAUAAAUAAAAGAGACGUCGUCAUUUCUGAGAUUUACAUCUGCCAUUCAACGGCGUCUUUAUCGACCGCAGUGAUUGACAUGGCAGCAAUAACGCCGAAAGCAAUAAAAACAAACUUAAUCAAACAGAGUAUGGAUGGUUGAUGUACGAGCACGAGCCUGACGUACACUCGUAAAACGCAACCCUUUUUUUUUUUUGGUUGUUGUUGUCUACAUACUAGCCCAACGUAGCAGUGGGAGGCUAUUACUUGGUCGAACAUUAACAUCCAAAGAGAUUUGUUUCUCGAUUUAAGGCGAUUGUGAUCUUGGGCCAACAGAAAAGAUAUUACGGGCGGAAGGCAGACAUCUCUCUCCCUUUUUGUUUCCGUAAGAAUAGAAAUAGGGAGGCGAGGAGUUUCGUGGCCCUUUGGUGCGUAUUUCCAUUGUUCCAGUCGAUAGAGGACGUUCAAGUGGACAACUAGUGAGAACAAAAAAAUGAAAGGGGGGAGGACUACUGCCACUCGAUCCAAAGUUCCCAUAGUGUGUUCAUCCCUACUAUUCCAUAAACAUCAAAAAAUAGAUGUACGGAGGAAGGACGAGUUAUCCUUCAUAGAGGAAAAGGAAAAAGAAUUUCCUUUUGGUCGUCGGAUAAGAAUCUCGGUAGGAAUUGGCCCUUUUUUUUUUUGUCCUUCGGCAGGAAUCCAUCCGCACGUUAAGCUAUACACUUCUAUAAUAAUCCUGCUUUUGCCCUUUCCGCAAAAAGAAAUAUUCUUUUACUUCAGUCAGAGCUCACUGCGAUCCUGCUUGUUUAUCUUUUAUCAGCUGCAACGCCCAUUCGAGUAGACACACACACACACGCGUAUUAUAAUAUAAUUCCUAUCGAUUGGGAUGACUUGUUUAGCUGAGUGAGUGUAGUUACUAAAUAAGAGGAUACAUCGAGUCUUCCGGCCUGAGUCUGCAGAUAUUUUUGGGUGGCAUCCUUUGAAAUAGGGAGCCUCCCCUGCGGUGCCAUUAAAUAUUCAUCAUUAUUGCAAGUUUCCAAGACCGUAAUGGUUUCCCUUUUUAUUUUGCGCAUCAACUGUAUAGGACGAAGAGCAGAACUUGUUGGUGACAUUAAAAUAAUGCGCCUCUCUGGUUUUUUUUAGAUCCCUUUUUGAUUGCCUCUUCCGCCUUAAAUUGUCGGAAAACGUCAGUUAUUGAGAUUUAUAGUGCCUUUUAUUUUUUUCUAACGUUCUCCUCGCGAUUGGUAUCCUUCAUCGUUUAUUCAAAGAUGCCCAUUUCGUAUGUAACGCUAGCGGAGCGACUAAAUGAAUAACUAAGACUUUGAGUGCCACUGCAUGUUUCAUGGAAAUGAGGUGAUAUACUUGUCACGGCUGUCCAUUCUGUGAAACUGAAGGAAAAGGACGAGCAAUAUUUGUAUAUGUAUGAAACUGUUGGCACACGGGGAGGGGGCGACGCUUGCGCCGUUGCUUACAAAGAAAAGGACGUAAGGCUAAACAGAAGGGGCCAACUCACGAAGACUCGGUGCGCAACGGGACACUAUAUACGUAGCCUUCAGUUUCGGCUUCCAGUUGAGAAAGGAAGCUGAGCCGCGUGCAGCACCAUGAGAUCUCUAGUUUCUUGUUACUAUCGUUUAAAUCGACGGUUACUCGUAAGAUAGUUUGGCUUCUAGCGGACGUGAUGUGAAACUUUUAUACGGGAAGUAAGGGAGGGGGGAGGGGAGGACAUUCGCGGUGGCCGAGUGUCAACAGACACAACGAAUAGCGUCUGUCAAUCGUUAACACGUACAGGAGGCCCGGAAUCAACAAGUGAUUGCUAGACACCAGAGAUUCUGCUAUUUGUUGAAGAAGGAAAUAAGUUAGUGAUUUGCAGACCGACAACCGAGUUUAUUGGUUGAUCGAUCGGCCGAAUCGAUUACCGGACGAGACCAGUCAACAGCUGUGCAGUAAAACUGUUUCUCGCGCUGUGUUGCAAUUGUUGUAUCGCAUGUCUGCCAAGAAAAGCGGCUGCGUUUCUACAUUCGUGGGACUUUAUAUUGACAAAGUUCGCACGUAAAUGGUGGACUAUCCUCUA